Molecule: long non-coding RNA, 283 nt
Filed under: Hordeum vulgare
Lineage: Eukaryota; Viridiplantae; Streptophyta; Magnoliopsida; Poales; Poaceae
Description: long non-coding RNA (HVUL_LNC001070)
Source: RNAcentral
GUUGAGAUCCUAUCUACUUCUCCUUCCUCUUUUGCUGGAUCAAUAAGGAGGAGGUGUCACUGAGUCGCACGUGUGUUGAACAUGGAGUUGCCGUCCAUUCAACAUUAGAUCGGAUCAGAACGCGAUUGGAUCGUGAAGAGAACGACUGCAUCAACCAUGUUAUACACGCUUCUGCUUAGCGAUGUACAAGGGCGUGUAGAUGCACUACCCAUCUCAUAGCUGUUGAUCUCCAUAGAUAGAGCUUGGGUGGGCAUAGGAUUUUUUUGUUUCCCAUGCUACGUUC